CAAUGUUGUAUCGGUCGGGCGGGCACACAUAGGCCGUGCCGCCGCCCGAUCCGCUGUUGGCCGCGGGCACCUGGUACGAGGUGACGUACCCGUUGCCUCCGUUGCCGUUGAAGCCGGCAGCGCCACCCCAUGUAUAACAGGGCAGCGAGUAGGUGGCGGUGCCGCCCUCCCACUGCCGACCGGGCGAGGUCCACGACGCACCGCGCGCAAACGGCUUGGUGACGUCGCCAUUCACAAAGGAAAAGCCGGCGCCGGCGCCGCCGGCCUUGAUGUCGCCGAUCAUGGCACCCUGCGCCGAUGCCGCCAGGGGGUUGUCGUUGGCGGCGCCCGACGGGGUACCGCCACCGCGCACAACACCCGAGGCCGACGACGCAGCGCCGCCGCCGGCACCGCCUUGGCAACCGCGACGUCCUCCCGACAUCAGGAGACGCCCGCCACCACCACCAUAAGCCGUCGCGCUAAACAGUGCGGUACCGUUGGGCGCCUUGACAACGACCGACGUCUGACCGCCGUUGCCCGCCACCAAGUCGAGGAUGCUGCCAAGCGCCGCGCCUCCCUGGCCGACAUCCACGGUCCACACGGCGUCGCUGGCGGCAAGGUCCCAACUGGCGUCGCCCAGUGCGCGCGCAAUGAUCGCAGAGCCGCUGCCGCCGCUUGCGCCGCACUGCGCCGUCGAUGCGGCGCCGCCACCGCCGCCCCACAGGCUCACGACCACGUUGGUGGCGUCGGCCGGCAGGGACCACGUCUGCGAGGCGCCCAAAAGGACAGAAUAACGGUGCCCAUCAACGACGACGGUCGCGGUGCAACACAAGAGCGCCAACAGGGCCAGGCCGACGAGCGGGGCGCCAUAGGACUUGUGCAUUGUCAUCGUCGCUGAUCACAGAGACUUGUUAAGGGGGCGGGAGGGAGUGAUCACUAGGGCGCGUGCCUUUUGCCUUGAGGCGAUCCCCAAUUUUAGCCCGCCGGUCGACGGAAAGCCGACGGGCGACCACAGUCUCGGCCUCGCCGCACCACCCGCCUACCGGAGCCGAGUCUCUGGCGCAACCCAAAAGAGCAAAAAAGAGAACCCAUCUUUGUGUCGGGUGUCGAGUUUUUGCAAGCCUUUUGUCCCCCUUUUUUUGAUCUCUGCCCACACGCGGGCGCUGAAAGGGCUGACCAAUCCCCAACGGCCGAGGACGCAA
RNAcentral lists this long non-coding RNA (1181 nucleotides) under Pandoravirus quercus. RNAcentral describes it as "hypothetical ncRNA". The record is from RNAcentral.